GCCCUCGGAACACGGGGUUAAGGCAGGAAUUCCACUUCUAGAAAAGCCUCCUGCAGCUGCGCUCCCACAAGUGCGCAAAGAUUGCCAAUUUUAAUAUUAAAGCGGAUAAUUAUUAAGGGCUCACUAGGUAGCAGGUCGUGGACUGCGCUAAAUCAAUUAGUUCAUGCAGUCCCCAGAGCAACCUGGAUCUAUUAUUAUUCCCGGAUUUAGUGAUGAGGAAAUUGGUUUGCUUAAAGUUUCAAUGAGUCAGUUGUGAGAAUAAUCGCAACUAUAUUCUGUCAAGGACCCUGUGAAGUAGAUCUUACCACCUUUAUUUGCCCAAGUAUACACACAGUGGUGGGUUGGAGAACCCGGACUUGAAUAAGCCUGUUGCAGUCCUGAGCCUUUGCGCUGAACCGCUGGUGACUUACUUCCAGUCAAACCCGUGCAAACACUGCAACUUUAGUUGUACGAAAAACAGUUGGGAACAACCUACCUGUCCUUCAUUAGGAGAGUGGCUGAUAAAAUACAGUGGAGACAUACAGCGGCAGAGAGAAAGAUGGAAUGAAGCAACACCUCAUCAAGAGAAGCAACCUGGGCAAACCAGGCCUGGUUUAACUGCACUUUCUCACGUUUGAUCAUUUUCUCAAGAGAUACGUGCGUGGUCCUCUGCAAUUCAGAAUGAAAUCUGAACUUCUGGAAAAACUCUCCUAGAGGGGGUUUGAGGACAAGAGACAAGGGAAAUUUGGACACAGACAUACAAAGAGGAGAGAAUGCUAUAUGAAGACACAGAGACAGACAGACCCAGAGAACAGAUGGCCAUGUGACCACAGAGGCUGUGAUUGGCAUUGCAUAGCUACAAGCCAGGAAACUCUGAGGAUUUCCAGAAACCUCCAGAAGUUAGUAGAGAGGUAUGGAAUAGAUUCUCCCCAUGCCUGAGCUGCCAAGAAGGAACUAAGCCUGCUGAUACCUUGAUUUUGGACAUCUGGCCUCCUGAACUGUGAGAGAAUAAAUUUCUGUUGUGUUAAGCCA
Long non-coding RNA from Homo sapiens (human), 1011 nucleotides. RefSeq lists it as uncharacterized. The transcript is spliced from 3 exons. The record is from RefSeq and is a predicted model, not a curated record. Lineage: Eukaryota; Metazoa; Chordata; Mammalia; Primates; Hominidae.